Molecule: ribosomal RNA, 304 nt
Filed under: uncultured soil bacterium
Lineage: Bacteria
Description: bacterial SSU rRNA
Rfam family: Bacterial small subunit ribosomal RNA
Source: RNAcentral
AGAUUGAACGCUGGCGGCAUGCCUUACACAUGCAAGUCGAACGGCAGCACGGGAGCAAUCCUGGUGGCGAGUGGCGAACGGGUGAGUAAUAUAUCGGAACGUGCCCAGUCGUGGGGGGAUAACGUAGAAAAAUUUACGCUAAUACCGCAUACGAUCCAAGGAUGAAAGCGGGGGACCGUAAGGCCUCGCGCGACUGGAGCGGCUGAUAUCAGAUUAGCUUGUUGGUGAGGUAAAGCUCACCAAGGCGACGAUCUGUAGCUGGUUUGAGAGAACGACCAGCCACACGUGGACUGACGACGACCGG